GAUGAACGCUAGCUACAGGCUUAACACAUGCAAGUCGAGGGACCGGCGCACGGGUGAGUAACGCGUAUCCCACCUAGCCAAUACUCAGUCAUAACCCGUUGCAAGACGGACUAAUUCCUGAUGGUAUUGGUUGGGGAUGCGUCUGAUUAGUUUGUUGGUGAGGUAACGGCUCACCAAGACUUCGAUCAGUAGUGGUUCUGAGAGGAAGGUCCACCAGAUUGGAACUGAGACACGGUCCAAACUCCGAGGGGAGGAAGGAGUGAGGAAUAUAGGGCAAUGGAGGCUAAUCGGAACCAGCCAAGUGGCGUGAAGGAUGACUGGCUAUGGAUUGUAAACUGCUUUGAAGUGAGAAUAUGUAUCACAUGAAUAAGGACCGGCUAAUUCCGUGCCAGCAGCCGCGGUAAUAC
Molecule: ribosomal RNA, 407 nt
Filed under: uncultured bacterium
Lineage: Bacteria
Description: partial 16S ribosomal RNA
Rfam family: Bacterial small subunit ribosomal RNA
Source: RNAcentral